Pelobates cultripes (western spadefoot toad) is the source of this 75-nucleotide non-coding RNA. NCBI's taxonomy places the organism in Eukaryota, Metazoa, Chordata, Amphibia, Anura, Pelobatidae. The record is from the annotation of a GenBank genome assembly.
UGUGUGUGUGUCUCUGUAUGUAUGUGUCUCUGUGUGUCACAUACAGACACAUACAUACAGAGACACACACACAUA